AGCGAACGCUGGCGGCAGGCCUAACACAUGCAAGUCGAACGAACUCUUCGGAGUUAGUGGCGGACGGGUGAGUAACACGUGGGAACGUGCCUUUUGGUUCGGAAUAACUCAGGGAAACUUGUGCUAAUACCGAAUGUGCCCUUCGGGGGAAAGAUUUAUCGCCAUUAGAGCGGCCCGCGUCUGAUUAGCUAGUUGGUGAGGUAACGGCUCACCAAGGCGACGAUCAGUAGCUGGUCUGAGAGGAUGACCAGCCACACUGGGACUGAGACACGGCCCAGACACCUACGGGAGGGAGCAGUGGGGAAUCUUGCGCAAUGGGCGAAAGCCUGACGCAGCCAUGCCGCGUGAAUGAUGAAGGUCUUAGGAUUGUAAAAUUCUUUCAACGGGGACGAUAAUGACGGUACCCGGAGAAGAAGCCCCGGCUAACUUCGUG
Molecule: ribosomal RNA, 433 nt
Filed under: uncultured bacterium
Lineage: Bacteria
Description: partial 16S ribosomal RNA
Rfam family: Bacterial small subunit ribosomal RNA
Source: RNAcentral